CCUACGGGAGGCAGCAGUGGGGGAUAUUGGUCAAUGGGGGAAACCCUGAACCAGCAACGCCGCGUGAGGGAAGACGGCCUUCGGGUUGUAAAGCUAAGUGAUCAGGGAUGAAACAAUUGACAGUACCUGAAAAGCAAGCUCCGGCUAACUACGUGCCAGCAGCCGCGGUAAUACGUAGGGGGCAAGGGUUGUCCGGAUUUACUGGGUGUAAAGGGUGCGGAGGCGGGAACACAAGUCGGGCGUGAAAUACCGGGGCUCAACUCCGGGGCUGCGCUUGAAACUGUGGUUCUUGAGUGAUGUAGAGGCAGGCAGAAGUCCUGGUGUAGCGGUGGAAUGCGUAGAUAUUAGGAGGAACACCAGUGGCGAAGGCGGCCUGCUGGAC
RNAcentral lists this ribosomal RNA (382 nucleotides) under uncultured bacterium. RNAcentral's name for it is "partial 16S ribosomal RNA". It matches the Rfam family "Bacterial small subunit ribosomal RNA", at positions 338 to 734 of the family's 1533-position model. The record is from RNAcentral.